ACAUUUAUAGUUGAAAAAGACAAACAAAUCCAUGAACAAGUUGCAUCGCAACGGGAGAUGUUGACAGAAAAUGGGGAGUAAGUGGAUGAUAAUCAAUUAUACUAUGACGCAGUUGGUGGAUACAACAAGAAAAAAAGAAUUUAUGGACUUGGUUCAUAUGGUUGUUCUAGUUGUUAAUGGUCCGACUAAUGAUAAUUGUUGUUUAUUAAGACUAUUACAAUGUUGUUUAGACUUUAAUUAACUAUUAUUAUGUAUUAUAUGUUCAUUGAUAAUGUAUUAUUACUUAAACUUAAUGUAGAAUUAUAAUAUACUUCUUACUUUAUUUUAGAAUUAA
Molecule: long non-coding RNA, 334 nt
Organism: Ipomoea nil (Japanese morning glory)
Lineage: Eukaryota; Viridiplantae; Streptophyta; Magnoliopsida; Solanales; Convolvulaceae
Exons: 2
Source: RefSeq, a predicted model, not a curated record